CUGACUGCUCUGAACUCCAGUUCCGGGUGAGUCUCUGGGGACCCAGACUCAUACGAGGAGAAACUGGACUGUCUGGCAUCGGGCAGA
Molecule: non-coding RNA, 87 nt
Organism: Myotis lucifugus (little brown bat)
Lineage: Eukaryota; Metazoa; Chordata; Mammalia; Chiroptera; Vespertilionidae
Source: Rfam